Molecule: ribosomal RNA, 2930 nt
Filed under: Proteus mirabilis
Lineage: Bacteria; Pseudomonadati; Pseudomonadota; Gammaproteobacteria; Enterobacterales; Morganellaceae
Description: bacterial LSU rRNA
Rfam family: Bacterial large subunit ribosomal RNA
Source: RNAcentral
GGGUUGUGAGGUUAAGCGAAUAAGCGUACACGGUGGAUGCCUAGGCAAUCAGAGGCGAUGAAGGACGUGCUAAUCUGCGAAAAGCGUCGGUAAGGUGAUAUGAACCGUUAUACCCGACGAUAUCCGAAUGGGGAAACCCAGUAUCCAAUGGAUACUAUCAUUAACUGAAUCCAUAGGUUAAUGAGGCGAACCGGGAGAACUGAAACAUCUCAGUACCCCGAGGAAAAGAAAUCAACCGAGAUUCCCCUAGUAGCGGCGAGCGAACGGGGAGCAGCCCAGAGUCUUAAUCAAUAACAGUGUCAGGAGAACGGUCUGGAAAGUCCGGCAGUAAAGGGUGAUAGCCCCGUAUCUGAAGAUGCUGUUAUUGUGAACUCGACGAGUAGGGCGGGACACGUGUUAUCCUGUCUGAAUAUGGGGGGACCAUCCUCCAAGGCUAAAUACUCCUGAUUGACCGAUAGUGAACCAGUACCGUGAGGGAAAGGCGAAAAGAACCCCGGCGAGGGGAGUGAAAAAGAACCUGAAACCGUGUACGUACAAGCAGUAGGAGCCUCUUUAUGGGGUGACUGCGUACCUUUUGUAUAAUGGGUCAGCGACUUAUAUUCUGUAGCGAGGUUAACCGUAUAGGGGAGCCGUAGGGAAACCGAGUCUUAACUGGGCGAAUGAGUUGCAGGGUAUAGACCCGAAACCCGGUGAUCUAUCCAUGGGCAGGUUGAAGGUUGGGUAACACUAACUGGAGGACCGAACCGACUAAUGUUGAAAAAUUAGCGGAUGACUUGUGGAUGGGGGUGAAAGGCCAAUCAAACCGGGAGAUAGCUGGUUCUCCCCGAAAGCUAUUUAGGUAGCGCCUCGUGAACUCAUCUUCGGGGGUAGAGCACUGUUUCGACUAGGGGGUCAUCCCGACUUACCAACUCGAUGCAAACUGCGAAUACCGAAGAAUGUUAUCACGGGAGACACACGGCGGGUGCUAACGUCCGUCGUGAAGAGGGAAACAACCCAGACCGCCAGCUAAGGUCCCAAAGUCAUGGUUAAGUGGGAAACGAAGUGGGAAGGCUCAGACAGCCAGGAUGUUGGCUUAGAAGCAGCCAUCAUUUAAAGAAAGCGUAAUAGCUCACUGGUCGAGUCGGCCCGCGCGGAAGAUGUAACGGGGCUAAACCAUGCACCGAAGCUGCGGCAGCGACACAUAGUGUUGUUGGGUAGGGGAGCGUUCUGUAAGCCUGCGAAGGUGUACUGUGAGGUAUGCUGGAGGUAUCAGAAGUGCGAAUGCUGACAUAAGUAACGAUAAUGCGGGUGAAAAACCCGCACGCCGGAAGACCAAGGGUUCCUGUCCAACGUUAAUCGGGGCAGGGUGAGUCGACCCCUAAGGCGAGGCUGAAAAGCGUAGUCGAUGGGAAACGGGUUAAUAUUCCCGUACUGGUGGUAACUGCGAUGGGGGAACGGAGAAGGCUAGGUUGUCCGGGCGACGGUCGUCCCGGUUCAAGCAGGUAGGCAGAGUGAUUAGGCAAAUCCGGUCACUUAAUGCUGAGAUGUGAUGACGAACCACCAAGGUGGUGAAGCAAUUGAUGCCCCGCUUCCAGGAAAAGCCUCUAAGCUUCAGGUUACCAACAAUCGUACCCCAAACCGACACAGGUGGUCAGGUAGAGAAUACUCAGGCGCUUGAGAGAACUCGGGUGAAGGAACUAGGCAAAAUGGUGCCGUAACUUCGGGAGAAGGCACGCUGGCGGUAGGUAAAGUCCCUCGCGGACAGAGCUGAAGCCAGUCGAAGAUACCAGCUGGCUGCAACUGUUUAUUAAAAACACAGCACUGUGCAAACACGAAAGUGGACGUAUACGGUGUGACGCCUGCCCGGUGCUGGAAGGUUAAUUGAUGGGGUUAGCGCAAGCGAAGCUCCUGAUCGAAGCCCCAGUAAACGGCGGCCGUAACUAUAACGGUCCUAAGGUAGCGAAAUUCCUUGUCGGGUAAGUUCCGACCUGCACGAAUGGCGUAAUGAUGGCCAGGCUGUCUCCACCCGAGACUCAGUGAAAUUGAACUCGCUGUGAAGAUGCAGUGUACCCGCGGCAAGACGGAAAGACCCCGUGAACCUUUACUAUAGCUUGACACUGAACAUUGAGCCUUGAUGUGUAGGAUAGGUGGGAGGCUUUGAAGUGUGGACGCCAGUCUGCAUGGAGCCAACCUUGAAAUACCACCCUUUAACGUUUGAUGUUCUAACCUAGGCCCAUAAACUGGGUCGGGGACCGUGUCUGGUGGGUAGUUUGACUGGGGCGGUCUCCUCCUAAAGAGUAACGGAGGAGCACGAAGGUUGGCUAAGCAUGGUCGGACAUCAUGCGGUUAGUGCAAAGGCAUAAGCCAGCUUGACUGCGAGAGUGACGGCUCGAGCAGGUACGAAAGUAGGUCUUAGUGAUCCGGUGGUUCUGAAUGGAAGGGCCAUCGCUCAACGGAUAAAAGGUACUCCGGGGAUAACAGGCUGAUACCGCCCAAGAGUUCAUAUCGACGGCGGUGUUUGGCACCUCGAUGUCGGCUCAUCACAUCCUGGGGCUGAAGUAGGUCCCAAGGGUAUGGCUGUUCGCCAUUUAAAGUGGUACGCGAGCUGGGUUUAGAACGUCGUGAGACAGUUCGGUCCCUAUCUGCCGUGGGCGUUGGAAGAUUGAGAGGGGUUGCUCCUAGUACGAGAGGACCGGAGUGAACGCACCACUGGUGUUCGGGUUGUCAUGCCAAUGGCAUUGCCCGGUAGCUAAGUGCGGAAGAGAUAACCGCUGAAAGCAUCUAAGCGGGAAACUUGCCUCGAGAUGAGUCUUCCCUGUCGCUUUAAGUGACCUAAAGGAACGUUUAAGACUAAGACGUUGAUAGGCUGGGUGUGUAAGCGUAGCGAUACGUUGAGCUAACCAGUACUAAUGAACCGUGAGGCUUAACCUGACAACACCGAAAGUGUUUUG